AUGGGGUCACCCGCCCCGGGAGAACCUGAGCGGCUGCGCGGGGACGCGGACAAAAGCCGCUUUGUGGAGGCGGCGAGUCCUUCAACGGCGCCACCGUGUGGCAGCGCCGGGAAGCCGCGGCGGCGGCGGGCGCCGCGGAUCCUGAGGCCGUCUCUCGCAAGCCCUGACCUUCUCCCACCUUCUCUGACAGGUUCUACUCCCAUAACGAACUCAUCCUCAGGAAGAUCACCAGUCUGGUGCCUUCAUACACUCACCUGUUCCCAGGGGCCACUUCAGCCCGGCUCUGAGAUUUCACUGCAUACAACCCAUGUCUACAUUUAAGGUUUCAAAGGGUACUUCUGCUUAUUUGUUCUUCUUGCAAAAUACCCAGAUUACUUUUCAGAAUCUCAGUUAAAUCUAAGGCAAAUAACUUAUAAGAAAGGCAAGGGUGGGUCACUGAGUAAUUAUUACUUGAUUUGUCCCCAGCUUGCUUGUAUCUUGGCCCCAUUCUCCAGCUCAGCUUGGCAUAGCUUCUGAGUUGUUCAGUAAAUGGCCCUAAUGUCCACCAGCAGGGUAGCAGCCAAAUGAAUUGUGGUGCAACUAUGAGAUUUAACCCUCGGCAAACGUUAAGAAUGUGUUGAAUGUGCAUGUGUGUUGACACAGGAGAAUGUUCCUGACUUCUCGUUGGGUUGAUAUAUACACUGUUCUUUAUGCAGACAAAAAGGAUCUGAAAUAUGUAAACCAAAAUAUUUAUUAUUUGUGUUUCUGUAAUUUUCAGAAUUUUAAUAAUGAACUCAAAUUGUGAAAAAGUAAUAAUUUUAAAAAUUUAAACUUAAUGAUCAAAGUAAAAAGAUUAAAUGUAUAUUAUAGUUUAUGCUGGGUCCCAUGUGUCUUACAAGGUAUUAUAUUACAAGGGAGGUUUUACUCCCCAGACCUUUCAGGAGGCCUAUAUUCCCCAGAUGUUGUCAUCUGUCAAGGUGCCACUCCUAUUUCAAGACUGAGUUCAGUUGCUCCACUUCUGGGGACUCUUCCUGGGGACUGUAUAAGACUCUUCCAGGUCUGUAUAAGUGCCAUUUCUGACCAUUCCCCCAGGCCACUGGGCCAGCUCUUACCCCAGCAACCAUUACACGUAAUGGUUUUCUCAUAGCACUCCCUGAGCCCUUGUGAGGGGAUUAUUCAGCUCCUUGUCCCUGGGUCUACUUGGCACAGUGAAUAAUGGAUGACCCAGGGGCACCUGGGUGGCUCAGUCAGUUAAGCACCCAACUCUUGAUUUUGGCUCAGGUCAUGAUCCCAGGGUUGUGGGACUGAGCCCUGUCUCAGACUCUGUGCUGAGCAUGGAGCC
This 1321-nucleotide long non-coding RNA is filed under the name Felis catus (domestic cat). RNAcentral's name for it is "lncRNA (ENSFCAG00000044624.2)". The record is from RNAcentral. Lineage: Eukaryota; Metazoa; Chordata; Mammalia; Carnivora; Felidae.